UGGGGUGUAGCUCAAUGGGAGAGUGAGAGCCUGGCCUGCACAAGGCCUGGGGUUCAAUCCCCAGCCCACAA
RNAcentral lists this transfer RNA (71 nucleotides) under Marmota monax (woodchuck). RNAcentral's name for it is "tRNA.Ala". Lineage: Eukaryota; Metazoa; Chordata; Mammalia; Rodentia; Sciuridae. The record is from RNAcentral.